AUGGAUACGCCUAGGGAUGUAAGUGGACGCGUGCGCGAAGUUUACUUUCAUGGUUUUUGUAUUAGCUUGAUUUUAAAAGCAACAUUGGUCAGUUUAUUUUCGCCUUCUUGGGUUGUUUGUAUUCACUCUUAUUUCCAUUCAGUCUCCAGGCCAGGUGCUGUUAUUAGGCAAAAACAUUUCUUCCUGGGCGGAUGGGAGUAUCUUUUGGUGAUGUUGCGCGGCAAUCAUGCCAUCAUGGCCAUGGGAAAUUGCAAGCACCUGAAAAAUUCACGCAUUUUUAUGUCAAAAAGUUUGAGGUUUCUUACUGCCUUAGAAAUUAUUUUGGAAUUUUACUGUUUAUUCAGCUAG
RNAcentral lists this ribosomal RNA (348 nucleotides) under Triticum aestivum (bread wheat). RNAcentral's name for it is "partial small subunit ribosomal RNA". Lineage: Eukaryota; Viridiplantae; Streptophyta; Magnoliopsida; Poales; Poaceae. The record is from RNAcentral.